RNAcentral lists this ribosomal RNA (1241 nucleotides) under metagenome. Its description in RNAcentral is "bacterial LSU rRNA". It matches the Rfam family "Bacterial large subunit ribosomal RNA", at positions 1564 to 2815 of the family's 2925-position model. The record is from RNAcentral.
UGAAUACGAGACGCUAAGGCGUCGAAGUAGUGUAUGUCAUACUUCCAAGAAAAGCUUGCACUGUCAUAGAUAAAAAACGCCUGUACCAUAACCGACACAGGUGGGUAGGUAGAGUAUACUAAGGGGCGCGAGAUAACUCUCUCUAAGGAACUCGGCAAAAUAACUCCGUAACUUCGGGAGAAGGAGUGCCUUAUUCGUAAGGUUGCAAUAACAAGAUCCAAGCAACUGUUUAUCAAAAACACAGGUCUCCGCUAAGUCGUAAGACGAUGUAUGGGGGCUGACGCCUGCCCAGUGCCAGAAGGUUAAAGAAGUUGGUUAGCAAUUGCGAAGCUGAUAACUGAAGCCCUGGUGAACGGCGGCCGUAACAAUAACGGUCCUAAGGUAGCGAAAUUCCUUGUCGGGUAAGUUCCGACCCGCACGAAAGGCGUAAUGAUUUGGAUACUGUCUCGGAGAGGGGCUCGGUGAAAUAGACUUGUCUGUGAAGAUGCGGACUACCUGCACCAGGACAGAAAGACCCUAUGAAGCUUUACUGUAACUUGAAAUUGAAAUUGGACUUUAUUCGCGCAGUAUAGGUGGGAGGCGUUGAUUAUAAUCUUGUGGGAUUAUUGGAGCCAUCAGUGAGAUACCACUCUUGUAAUGUUAGAUUUCUAACUUUGAAUCAUUAUCUGGUCAAAGAACAGUUUCAGGCGGGCAGUUUGACUGGGGCGGUCGCCUCCUAAACGGUAACGGAGGCGUACAAAGGUUUCCUCUGAACGGUUAGAAAUCGUAUCUAGAGUGUAAAGGCAUAAGGAAGCUUGACUGUGAGACCUACAAGUCGAGCAGGGACGAAAGUCGGUCUUAGUGAUCUGACGGUACUGAGUGGAAAGGCCGUCACUCAACGGAUAAAAGUUACUCUAGGAUAACAGGCUGAUCUCCCCCAAGAGUUCACAUCGACGGGGAGGUUUGGCACCUCGAUGUCGGCUCAUCGCAUCCUGGGGCGGUAGUACGUCCCAAGGGUUGGGCUGUUCGCCCAUGAAAGCGGUACGCGAGCUGGGUUCAGAACGUCGUGAGACAGUUCGGUCCAUAUCCGGUGUAGGCGUUAGAAUAUUGAGAGGAGCCUUCUUUAGUACGAGAGGACCGAGAAGGACAUACCUCUGGUGUACCAGUUAUCGUGCCAACGGUAAACGCUGGGUAGCUAUGUAUGGAGUGGAUAACCGCUGAAAGCAUCUAAGUGGGUAGCCCACCUCAAGAUAAGUAUUCUC